Molecule: long non-coding RNA, 443 nt
Filed under: Sus scrofa (pig)
Lineage: Eukaryota; Metazoa; Chordata; Mammalia; Artiodactyla; Suidae
Description: lncRNA (ENSSSCG00025043945.1, ENSSSCG00035048140.1)
Source: RNAcentral
UUUCUAUGUUAGUUGAGUAAGGAUGCUGACCUACUGAUCGGAUCUCCAGCCCAGGACUAUGGUUUUCCAAUAGUUAGAGGUCAUUGAUCCUGAAGGAAAAUUUUUUGCCUAAGAAUUGGAGCUGCCUGAUCUCUACAUAUUGCAAAUGGUCUGACCUUUUCAUUCAAUAGUCACUAGGCAUGGACAGCCUGGUUCUGAGUGUGCAAAGCUGUGGCUUCCCCUCCUAUAGACGCCUUCUGAACAGCAAAUCUGACUUCCUCCUCAGACCAAGGCAUCCUGAAAACAUCCAAGCAGAGGAAGCAUUUUUUCACCAUGACAUGGGAAAGGGCCACAGAGAUCCAAAUGGAAACGGACAUUUCAUACCAAUGCAUUGGAUGAUAACUGGUACAUCGUCAAGGGACAGAAGUGUCAACAGCUUGUCCUCAGGUCCUCAAGAGUCAUAA